GGUGUCGGAGAGAGGCAGAUUGACAAGAAUGAGGGUUGGGUUUUCACCGGGAUGAAGAAACAGAGGAUGGGCAGGAUUAGAAAGAUGAUCGGUGGUGGAAGAUGAGAUAGCCAUGAGAAGAGAACAGAGCAGAAGAUGAAGAAAAGGGGCAAAAGAAGAACCCUAAUUAUUUUCUUUCUUCUGAUACCAUGUGAGUGUUUGAGAAAAGAGAGAAAAUAACAACUCCAAAGAAAAGCAAAAAAUUGUGAAUGAAUUCAAGCAAAAGUAUAUUGAGUUACAGCGGAAGCAAACUAUAUAUACAAAGGAAAAAGGAAAAACAGAAAUAACAAACUGUUCAAAAACAUACUAUAACACUACAGCCAAACAGUUUCUAUGUUUCCACCGUUCGGUACUAUUAAGUCGCUCGACAACCUCACGCCUAUGACCAUUCAGUAGUUUGGUAACCUUACUGACUACAUUCGUUCGGUAGCCUUCAUCCAUUCUGCCUUCAGUCGUUCGGUAGCUUGGUAACCUUACUCUCUUUAGUCGUUCGGUAGUCUACAUCUUCCUUACCGGUCGUCAUGUUCCUGCUUUCUACCGUUCAGUAACAACAGAAGAAGAGAUCUAUGAAGAUCUCUAUCAGCGACACUCUGGUCAUAGUGGUAAGGGCAAAUAACCUCCUUCCGAGCUUGUUGGAGUUGCUCGCGAUUGGAAGCAAAC
RNAcentral lists this long non-coding RNA (699 nucleotides) under Vigna radiata. RNAcentral's name for it is "long non-coding RNA (VRAD_LNC011044)". The record is from RNAcentral. Lineage: Eukaryota; Viridiplantae; Streptophyta; Magnoliopsida; Fabales; Fabaceae.